RNAcentral lists this long non-coding RNA (557 nucleotides) under Homo sapiens (human). RNAcentral's name for it is "long intergenic non-protein coding RNA 1606 (ENSG00000282395.1)". Lineage: Eukaryota; Metazoa; Chordata; Mammalia; Primates; Hominidae. The record is from RNAcentral.
ACCUAACGGCUCUUCUUCGAGUCUUCUCAGAGGUUGGAGAUUCCCUGUCUUCUCCAACCUCUGCCAAGUCUUCAGAGAGGUUGGAGUGCGCCUGUCGGAGGUACUAGACCCCAGAUGAGGAUCUCAGGAAGAUCCACAAAGCUGCGUCCAGGGGAACGAACGUGUGGAAGCUGCAGCGGAGCCUCCUGCUCAAGAGUAAAGGACCGGUCUGAAACCUACAAGAACAGAAGAGCCAUGUGACGGGAUCCGUGGUUUGGCAGAGGAGACAUGCGAGAAGACGGAACGUUUUGUCCGAAUAGACAUCUGGCAGGGUGGAACGGAGAGAACAGGUAUGGUGGAGAGAACGUCUGAGAAGGUCGCAGGAUUCGCAGGAGCAUCGGGAAAAGAUUGCCUGCUUGCCCGAAGGAAUGGCAAGUUCCAAAGCUGUGCUGUGGGCAGUGUUUAGUUCAUGUCUGCUUUGCUGGCGGGCCGAGUAGCAACAGCUGCAGUUGGUGUGUUCUCUGAAGGCAGUAUCCGAAGGCUGGAGGGGUUGCUUUUCUUCCCAGGUGUCUUUUGAA